This 252-nucleotide ribosomal RNA is filed under the name uncultured bacterium. Its description in RNAcentral is "partial 16S ribosomal RNA". It matches the Rfam family "Bacterial small subunit ribosomal RNA", at positions 524 to 775 of the family's 1533-position model. The record is from RNAcentral.
UACGGAGGGGGCUAGCGUUGUUCGGAAUUACUGGGCGUAAAGCGCACGUAGGCGGCUUUGUAAGUUAGAGGUGAAAGCCCGGGGCUCAACUCCGGAAUUGCCUUUAAGACUGCAUCGCUAGAAUUGUGGAGAGGUAAGUGGAAUUCCGAGUGUAGAGGUGAAAUUCGUAGAUAUUCGGAAGAACACCAGUGGCGAAGGCGACUUACUGGACACAUAUUGACGCUGAGGUGCGAAAGCGUGGGGAGCAACAGG